Long non-coding RNA from Priapulus caudatus, 225 nucleotides. RefSeq lists it as uncharacterized. Lineage: Eukaryota; Metazoa; Priapulida; Priapulimorpha; Priapulimorphida; Priapulidae. The record is from RefSeq and is a predicted model, not a curated record. The transcript is spliced from 3 exons.
ACGGCCGCCGUCACCAAAGGUCUCUCGAGGGGACGAAUCUCAGAUCUUCAAGACGAAGUUUUGUCGGCUGGGACGACGUGAUUGCUGUGGACUUCACGCGCAGCGCCGAGUCCGUCGCCAAGCGCGGCGCUGACGUCAUGAAGAUACUGAGAGAUACCGAGAUGAAGGUGGAUCUGUCGGCGCUGUUCAUGCCGCGGCAAGCCGGCGCAUGACGACGGAGGAAGC